UACGGAGGAUCCGAGCGUUAUCCGGAUUUAUUGGGUUUAAAGGGUGCGUAGGCGGAAAAUUAAGUCAGUGGUGAAAGUUUGCAGCUCAACUGUAAAAUUGCCAUUGAAACUGCUUUUCUUGAGUGUAAAUGAGGUAGGCGGAAUGUGUUGUGUAGCGGUGAAAUGCUUAGAUAUAACACAGAACACCAAUUGCGAAGGCAGCUUACUGGGAUACAACUGACGCUGAGGCACGAAAGCGUGGGGAUCAAACAGGAUUAGAUACCCUGGUAGUCCACGCAGUAAACGAUGAAUACUAACUGUAUGCGAUAUACUGUAUGCGGUACAGCGAAAGCGUUAAGUAUUCCACCUGGGGAGUACGUUCGCAAGAAUGAA
RNAcentral lists this ribosomal RNA (372 nucleotides) under uncultured bacterium. RNAcentral's name for it is "bacterial SSU rRNA". It matches the Rfam family "Bacterial small subunit ribosomal RNA", at positions 524 to 898 of the family's 1533-position model. The record is from RNAcentral.